GACGAACGCUGGCGGCGUGCUUAACACAUGCAAGUCGAACGAAGAGCGAUGGAAGCUUGCUUCUAUCAAUCUUAGUGGCGAACGGGUGAGUAACGCGUAAUCAACCUGCCCUUCAGAGGGGGACAACAGUUGGAAACGAUUGCUAAUACCGCAUACGAUCUAAUCUCGGCAUCGAGGAGAGAUGAAAGGUGGCCGCUACAUGUAAGCUAUAACUGGAGGAGGGGAGUGGGCUGGAUUAGGUAGUUCGAGGGGGAACGGCCCACCAAGGCGAUGAUCAGUAGACGGGCUGAGAGGAUGGACGGCCACAAUGGGACGGGGGCACGGCCCAGAAUCCUACGGGAGGGAGCAGUGGGGAAUCUUCCGCAAAGGAAGAAAGGCUGACGGCGCAACGCCGCGUGAGGGAUGACGGCCUUCGGGUUGUAAAGCUCUGUUAAUCGGGACGGAAGGCCUUCUUGCGAAUAGUGCGAAGGAUUGACGGUACCGGAAUAGAAAGCCACGGCUAACUACGUG
RNAcentral lists this ribosomal RNA (510 nucleotides) under uncultured bacterium. RNAcentral's name for it is "partial 16S ribosomal RNA". It matches the Rfam family "Bacterial small subunit ribosomal RNA", at positions 28 to 507 of the family's 1533-position model. The record is from RNAcentral.